Molecule: ribosomal RNA, 3153 nt
Filed under: Streptomyces sp. NA03103
Lineage: Bacteria; Bacillati; Actinomycetota; Actinomycetes; Kitasatosporales; Streptomycetaceae
Description: 23S ribosomal RNA
Rfam family: Bacterial large subunit ribosomal RNA
Source: RNAcentral
ACAGUGGACGCGAGCAUCUGUGGCCAAGUUUUUAAGGGCGCACGGUGGAUGCCUUGGCACCAGGAACCGAUGAAGGACGUGGGAGGCCACGAUAGGCCCCGGGGAGUCGUCAACCAGGCUUUGAUCCGGGGGUGUCCGAAUGGGGAAACCCGGCAGUCGUCAUGGGCUGUCACCCGCUGCUGAACACAUAGGCAGUGUGGAGGGAACGCGGGGAAGUGAAACAUCUCAGUACCCGCAGGAAGAGAAAACAACCGUGAUUCCGGGAGUAGUGGCGAGCGAAACCGGAUGAGGCUAAACCGUUCACGUGUGAGACCCGGCAGGGGUUGCGUGUGCGGGGUUGUGGGAUCUCACUUCUGUUGUCUGCCGGCAACAGGGCGAGUCAGAAACCGUUGAUGUAGGCGAAGGACAUGCGAAAGGUCCGGCGUAGAGGGUAAGACCCCCGUAGUCGAAAUGUCAGCGGCUUGCUUGUGAGACACCCAAGUAGCACGGGGCCCGAGAAAUCCCGUGUGAAUCUGGCGGGACCACCCGCUAAGCCUAAAUAUUCCCUGGUGACCGAUAGCGGAUAGUACCGUGAGGGAAUGGUGAAAAGUACCGCGGGAGCGGAGUGAAAUAGUACCUGAAACCGUGUGCCUACAAGCCGUGGGAGCGUCGGACAUCAAGCUUGCUUGGUGUCUCGUGACUGCGUGCCUUUUGAAGAAUGAGCCUGCGAGUUUGCGGUGUGUUGCGAGGUUAACCCGGGUGGGGAAGCCGUAGCGAAAGCGAGUCCGAACAGGGCGAUUUUAGUAGCACGCUCAAGACCCGAAGCGGAGUGAUCUAGCCAUGGGCAGGUUGAAGCGGCUGUAAGAGGUCGUGGAGGACCGAACCCACCAGGGUUGAAAACCUGGGGGAUGACCUGUGGUUAGGGGUGAAAGGCCAAUCAAACUCCGUGAUAGCUGGUUCUCCCCGAAAUGCAUUUAGGUGCAGCGUCGUGUGUUUCUUGCCGGAGGUAGAGCACUGGAUAGGCGAUGGGCCCUACCGGGUUACUGACCUUAGCCAAACUCCGAAUGCCGGUAAGUGAGAGCGCGGCAGUGAGACUGUGGGGGAUAAGCUCCAUGGUCGAGAGGGAAACAGCCCAGAGCAUCGACUAAGGCCCCUAAGCGUACGCUAAGUGGGAAAGGAUGUGGAGUCGCACAGACAACCAGGAGGUUGGCUUAGAAGCAGCCACCCUUGAAAGAGUGCGUAAUAGCUCACUGGUCUAGUGAUUCCGCGCCGACAAUGUAGCGGGGCUCAAGCGUACCGCCGAAGUCGUGUCAUUGCGAUAUGUACCCCCAACGGGGAUCGUGAUGGGUAGGGGAGCGUCGUCUGCCGGGUGAAGCAGCACCGGAAGGUAGUUGUGGACGGUUGACGAGUGAGAAUGCAGGCAUGAGUAGCGAUACAAACGUGAGAAACGUUUGCGCCGAUUGACUAAGGGUUCCUGGGUCAAGCUGAUCUGCCCAGGGUAAGUCGGGACCUAAGGCGAGGCCGACAGGCGUAGUCGAUGGAUAACCGGUUGAUAUUCCGGUACCCGCUGUGAAGCGUCAAACAUCGAACCAGGCGAUGCUAAGUCCGUGAAACCGCCCGCUGCCGGCUUUGCCGUCAGUGGGAGUGGUGGAGCCGACGAACCAGACCUGUAGUAGGUGAGUGAUGGGGUGACGCAGGAAGGUAGUCCAUCCCGGGCGGUGGUUGUCCCGGGGUAAGGGUGUAGGCCGCAAGGUAGGUAAAUCCGCCUUGCAUACGGCUGAGACCUGAUGCCGAGCCGAUUGUGGUGAAGUGGAUGAUCCUAUGCUGUCGAGAAAAGCCUCUAGCGAGUUUCAUGGCGGCCCGUACCCUAAACCGACUCAGGUGGUCAGGUAGAGAAUACCGAGGCGUUCGGGUGAACUAUGGUUAAGGAACUCGGCAAAAUGCCCCCGUAACUUCGGGAGAAGGGGGGCCACACCUGGUGACGAGUCUUGCACUCUGAGCUGGGGGUGGCCGCAGAGACCAGCGAGAAGCGACUGUUUACUAAAAACACAGGUCCGUGCGAAGCCGUAAGGCGAUGUAUACGGACUGACGCCUGCCCGGUGCUGGAACGUUAAGGGGACCGGUUAGCUCCAUUUCGGUGGGGCGAAGCUGAGAACUUAAGCGCCAGUAAACGGCGGUGGUAACUAUAACCAUCCUAAGGUAGCGAAAUUCCUUGUCGGGUAAGUUCCGACCUGCACGAAUGGCGUAACGACUUCUCGACUGUCUCAACCAUAGGCCCGGUGAAAUUGCACUACGAGUAAAGAUGCUCGUUUCGCGCAGCAGGACGGAAAGACCCCGGGACCUUUACUACAGUUUGAUAUUGGUGUUCGGUUCGGCUUGUGUAGGAUAGCUGGGAGACUGUGAAGCUCGCACGCCAGUGUGGGUGGAGUCGUCGUUGAAAUACCAGUCUGGUCGUGCUGGAUGUCUAACCUGGGUCCGUGAUCCGGAUCAGGGACAGUGUCUGAUGGGUAGUUUAACUGGGGCGGUUGCCUCCUAAAGAGUAACGGAGGCGCCCAAAGGUUCCCUCAGCCUGGUUGGCAAUCAGGUGUUGAGUGUAAGUGCACAAGGGAGCUUGACUGUGAGACCGACGGGUCGAGCAGGGACGAAAGUCGGGACUAGUGAUCCGGCGGUGGCUUGUGGAAGCGCCGUCGCUCAACGGAUAAAAGGUACCCCGGGGAUAACAGGCUGAUCUUCCCCAAGAGUCCAUAUCGACGGGAUGGUUUGGCACCUCGAUGUCGGCUCGUCGCAUCCUGGGGCUGGAGUCGGUCCCAAGGGUUGGGCUGUUCGCCCAUUAAAGCGGUACGCGAGCUGGGUUUAGAACGUCGUGAGACAGUUCGGUCCCUAUCCGCUGUGCGCGUAGGAGUCUUGAGAAGGGCUGUCCCUAGUACGAGAGGACCGGGACGGACGAACCUCUGGUGUGCCAGUUGUUCUGCCAAGGGCAUGGCUGGUUGGCUACGUUCGGGAGGGAUAACCGCUGAAAGCAUCUAAGCGGGAAGCCUGCUUCGAGAUGAGGACUCCCACCCCCUUGAGGGGUUAAGGCUCCCAGUAGACGACUGGGUUGAUAGGCCGGAUCUGGAAGCACCGUGAGGUGUGGAGGUGACCGGUACUAAUAGGCCGAGGGCUUGUCCUCAGUUG